CCUACGGGGGGCUGCAGUGGGGAAUAUUGGACAAUGGGGGGAACCCUGAUCCAGCCAUGCCGCGUGUGUGAAGAUGGCCCUCGGGUUGUAAAGCACUUUCAGUGAGGAAGAACGCCUGGUGGUUAAUACCCAUCAGGAAAGACAUCACUCACAGAAGAAGCACCGGCUAACUCCGUGCCAGCAGCCGCGGUAAUACGGAGGGUGCGAGCGUUAAUCGGAAUUACUGGGCGUAAAGCGCGCGUAGGUGGCUUGAUAAGCCGGUUGUGAAAGCCCCGGGCUCAACCUGGGAACGGCAUCCGGAACUGUCAAGCUAGAGUGCAGGAGAGGAAGGUAGAAUUCCCGGUGUAGCGGUGAAAUGCGUAGAGAUCGGGAGGAAUACCAGUGGCGAAGGCGGCCUUCUGGACUGACACUGACACUGAGGUGCGAAAGCGUGGGUAGCAAACAGGAUUAGAUACCCUGGUAGUC
RNAcentral lists this ribosomal RNA (465 nucleotides) under Vreelandella stevensii. Its description in RNAcentral is "partial 16S ribosomal RNA". It matches the Rfam family "Bacterial small subunit ribosomal RNA", at positions 338 to 795 of the family's 1533-position model. Lineage: Bacteria; Pseudomonadati; Pseudomonadota; Gammaproteobacteria; Oceanospirillales; Halomonadaceae. The record is from RNAcentral.